UGAACGCUGGCGGUAGGCCUAACACAUGCACGUCGAACGGCAGCACAGUAAGAGCUUGCUCUUACGGGUGGCGAGUGGCGGACGGGUGAGGAAUACAUCGGAAUCUACUUUUUCGUGGGGGAUAACGUAGGGAAACUUACGCUAAUACCGCAUACGACCUACGGGUGAAAGCAGGGGAUCUUCGGACCUUGCGCGAUUGAAUGAGCCGAUGUCGGAUUAGCUAGUUGGCGGGGUAAAGGCCCACCAAGGCGACGAUCCGUAGCUGGUCUGAGAGGAUGAUCAGCCACACUGGAACUGAGACACGGUCCAGACUCCUACGGGAGGCAGCAGUGGGGAAUAUUGGACAAUGGGCGCAAGCCUGAUCCAGCCAUACCGCGUGGGUGAAGAAGGCCUUCAGGUUGUAAAGCCCUUUUGUUGGGAAAGAAAAGCAGCAGGUUAAUACCCCGCUGUUCUGACGGUACCCAAAGAAUAAGCACCGGCUAACUUCGUG
Molecule: ribosomal RNA, 490 nt
Filed under: uncultured bacterium
Lineage: Bacteria
Description: partial 16S ribosomal RNA
Rfam family: Bacterial small subunit ribosomal RNA
Source: RNAcentral